Molecule: transfer RNA, 76 nt
Filed under: Saccharomyces cerevisiae (brewer's yeast)
Lineage: Eukaryota; Fungi; Ascomycota; Saccharomycetes; Saccharomycetales; Saccharomycetaceae
Also listed under: 1 other name
Description: tRNA from Saccharomyces cerevisiae (PDB 7ZUW, chain 6)
Rfam family: tRNA
About the family: Transfer RNA (tRNA) molecules are approximately 80 nucleotides in length. Their secondary structure includes four short double-helical elements and three loops (D, anti-codon, and T loops). Further hydrogen bonds mediate the characteristic L-shaped molecular structure. tRNAs have two regions of fundamental functional importance: the anti-codon, which is responsible for specific mRNA codon recognition, and the 3' end, to which the tRNAs corresponding amino acid is attached (by aminoacyl-tRNA synthetases). tRNAs cope with the degeneracy of the genetic code in two manners: having more than one tRNA (with a specific anti-codon) for a particular amino acid; and 'wobble' base-pairing, i.e. permitting non-standard base-pairing at the 3rd anti-codon position.
Source: RNAcentral
UUCCUCGUGGCCCAAUGGUCACGGCGUCUGGCUUCGAACCAGAAGAUUCCAGGUUCAAGUCCUGGCGGGGAAGCCA